AUGGAGAGCUAUACUUUUAAUCAAGAUUAUGCUAGAGUUGAGCUUGGCAACAUGUUGGUGUUGCAUGAUUAUCCCUUGUCUAUGGUAGACCAUGUUGGUUUUAGGAGAUUUGUUGCUGCCCUUCAGCCGUUAUUCAAGCUUCAUACAAGAAAUACUAUCCGAUAUGAUAUUGUGGGAAGAUACAAAAUGGAAAGGAAGAAGGCCAUCGAGUACAUGAGUAUGAUCCAAUCAAGGGUUGCUGUCACCACUGAUAUGUGGACCUCUGACAGCCAAAAGAAGGGAUAUAUGGCUAUCACAACCCAUUUCAUUGAUGAGUCGUGGAGGCUAAGGAACAUUCUCAUGAGGUUUAUUUAUGUUCAUGCAUCACAUAAUGCGGCUGCUAUAGCUGGGAUGCUUCAUGAGUCGUUGGUGGAAUGGAAUCUUGAUGAGAAGCUCUUGACCGUGAUAGUUGAUAAUUGCAACGUCAACGACAAGGCAGUUGAGGAGAUUGUGGGCAAGAUAGGGGAAAAUAAGCUUCUUUGUGAAGAUGCUCACACAAUAGAAACUAGCUUCUGGACUUGUCUUCAAGACAUUCAAGAAGGGAUGCAGGAAUUGAUGAUUUGA
This 603-nucleotide ribosomal RNA is filed under the name Triticum aestivum (bread wheat). RNAcentral describes it as "partial small subunit ribosomal RNA". Lineage: Eukaryota; Viridiplantae; Streptophyta; Magnoliopsida; Poales; Poaceae. The record is from RNAcentral.